CUUAUCCGAAAUACAUUUGGAUUGGGCGGGCAAAAUCCGAAUUGGGUGUCGGAUUUCGGGUGACAGGUUUGGGCCUAUCGGACCAGGCGAGUUCUUUGGGCGGUCUGGGUGUGUCGGGCCUGGUGUGCAGGCCUAGUAGGGAGACUAUUUCAAACCGUAAAGACUUUUGUAGCAAACACACCAUCUCAGCACCCUUUUGAUUCUUAAAUCUCUCUGGCUAUUCCAUAAAAAUCUUGUCUUCAAGAGUGCCAUGUAAGAAAGUUGUUUUCACAUCAAGUUGUUCUAAUUCCAUGUAUUCUUUUGCAACUAAGGCUAAGAUAAUUCUGAUGGAUGUCAUCUUGACCACCAGUGCAAAAACAUCAUGAUAAUCGAUGCCCUCUAGUUGUGCAUACCCUUUUGCCACAAGCCUAGCCUUGUAUCUAGGCUUUUUAACACCUGGGAUUCCAGUUUUCCUUUUGAAAUUCCACCUACAACCUAUAACUCUCUAAUUGUUUUCUCUUGGAACCAAUCUCCAUGUAUGAUUUGUACUAAAAAAAUCUAACUCUUUUAACAUGGCAGCUUCCCAAUAUUUCCAAUUCAGACUGUUAAUGGCUUCUUCAUAAUUUCUAGGCUCCUCUUCAUUGAUCAUAUCAACAAUUAUAAAUGCAAAAGCAAGGAGGUUAGCUUGAGCAUAUCUUGAUGGCAACUUGAUCUGCCUUCUCUCUCGAUCUCUUGCUAAAAGGUAGUCAUCAAGGUUGUGUUGGUAAAUCAUAACUUCUUCAGAGUCACUUUCAGGGUCAUUAUCAUAUUUUUAGUUCAUCUUAAGUUGUUGGAGAAGCUCCACCUCGAGCUGGAAUGUCAAUUGAAUUAUGCAAGUCUUCUAAA
Molecule: long non-coding RNA, 864 nt
Organism: Humulus lupulus (European hop)
Lineage: Eukaryota; Viridiplantae; Streptophyta; Magnoliopsida; Rosales; Cannabaceae
Exons: 2
Source: RefSeq, a predicted model, not a curated record